This 677-nucleotide ribosomal RNA is filed under the name Salmonella enterica subsp. enterica. RNAcentral's name for it is "bacterial SSU rRNA". It matches the Rfam family "Bacterial small subunit ribosomal RNA", at positions 865 to 1533 of the family's 1533-position model. Lineage: Bacteria; Pseudomonadati; Pseudomonadota; Gammaproteobacteria; Enterobacterales; Enterobacteriaceae. The record is from RNAcentral.
UAGACCGCCUGGGGAGUACGGCCGCAAGGUUAAAACUCAAAUGAAUUGACGGGGGCCCGCACAAGCGGUGGAGCAUGUGGUUUAAUUCGAUGCAACGCGAAGAACCUUACCUGGUCUUGACAUCCACAGAACUUUCCAGAGAUGGAUUGUGCCUUCGGGAACUGUGAGACAGGUGCUGCAUGGCUGUCGUCAGCUCGUGUUGUGAAAUGUUGGGUUAAGUCCCGCAACGAGCGCAACCCUUAUCCUUUGUUGCCAGCGAUUAGGUCGGGAACUCAAAGGAGACUGCCAGUGAUAAACUGGAGGAAGGUGGGGAUGACGUCAAGUCAUCAUGGCCCUUACGACCAGGGCUACACACGUGCUACAAUGGCGCAUACAAAGAGAAGCGACCUCGCGAGAGCAAGCGGACCUCAUAAAGUGCGUCGUAGUCCGGAUUGGAGUCUGCAACUCGACUCCAUGAAGUCGGAAUCGCUAGUAAUCGUGGAUCAGAAUGCCACGGUGAAUACGUUCCCGGGCCUUGUACACACCGCCCGUCACACCAUGGGAGUGGGUUGCAAAAGAAGUAGGUAGCUUAACCUUCGGGAGGGCGCUUACCACUUUGUGAUUCAUGACUGGGGUGAAGUCGUAACAAGGUAACCGUAGGGGAACCUGCGGUUGGAUCACCUCCUUACCUUAAAGAA